RNAcentral lists this ribosomal RNA (241 nucleotides) under uncultured bacterium. Its description in RNAcentral is "partial 16S ribosomal RNA". It matches the Rfam family "Bacterial small subunit ribosomal RNA", at positions 15 to 244 of the family's 1533-position model. The record is from RNAcentral.
GAUCCUGGCUCAGGAUGAACGCUAGCUACAGGCUUAACACAUGCAAGUCGAGGGGAAACGAUAUUGGAAGCUUGCUUCCGAUAGGCGUCGACCGGCGCACGGGUGAGUAACGCGUAUCCAACCUGCCCACCACUUGGGGAUAACCUUGCGAAAGUAAGACUAACUACCCAUGACGUCUCUAGAAGACAUCUGAAAGAGAUUAAAGAUUUAUCGGUGAUGGAGUGGGGAUGCGUCUGAUUAG